AUACGUAGGUGACAAGCGUUAUCCGGAUUUACUGGGCGUAAAGGGCGUGUAGGCGGUCUUGCAAGUCAGAAGUGAAAUUCCUGAGCUCAACUCGGGCGCUGCUUCUGAAACUGCAGGACCUGAGUGCUGGAGGGGAUAGCGGAAUUCCUAGUGGAGCGGUAAAAUGCGCAGAUAUUAGGAAGAACACCGGUGGCGAAGGCGGCAAACUGGACAGUAACGGAGGCUGAGGCGCGAAAGCGUGGGGAGCAAACAGGAUGAGAUGCCCUGGUGGUCCACGCCGUAAACGAUGAAUACUAGGUGUAGGGGGGAUCGACUCCCUCUGUGCCGCAGUUAACACAAUAAGUAUUCCGCCUGGGGAGUACGGCCGCAAGGUUGAAACUCAAAGGAAUUGACGGG
This 396-nucleotide ribosomal RNA is filed under the name uncultured bacterium. RNAcentral describes it as "partial 16S ribosomal RNA". It matches the Rfam family "Bacterial small subunit ribosomal RNA", at positions 523 to 917 of the family's 1533-position model. The record is from RNAcentral.